Molecule: ribosomal RNA, 449 nt
Filed under: uncultured bacterium
Lineage: Bacteria
Description: partial 16S ribosomal RNA
Rfam family: Bacterial small subunit ribosomal RNA
Source: RNAcentral
AACGAACGCUGGCGGCAUGCCUAACACAUGCAAGUCGAACGAGACCUUCGGGUCUAGUGGCGCACGGGUGCGUAACGCGUGGGAAUCUACCCUUGGGUUCGGAAUAACAGUUAGAAAUGACUGCUAAUACCGGAUGAUGACGUAAGUCCAAAGAUUUAUCGCCCAAGGAUGAGCCCGCGUAAGAUUAGCUUGUUGGUGGGGUAAUGGACUACCAAGGCGACGAUCUUUAGCUGGUCUGAGAGGAUGAUCAGCCACACUGGGACUGAGAUACGGCCCAGACUACUACGGGAGGCAGCAGUGGGGAAUAUUGGACAAUGGGCGAAAGCCUGAUCCAGCAAUGCCGCGUGAGUGAUGAAGGCCUUAGGGUUGUAAAGCUCUUUUACCAGGGAUGAUAAUGACAGAACCUGGAGAAUAAGCUCCGGCUAACUCCGUGCCAGCCGCCGCGGUAA